This 465-nucleotide ribosomal RNA is filed under the name uncultured bacterium. RNAcentral's name for it is "partial 16S ribosomal RNA". It matches the Rfam family "Bacterial small subunit ribosomal RNA", at positions 28 to 507 of the family's 1533-position model. The record is from RNAcentral.
GACGAACGCUGGCGGCGUGCUUAACACAUGCAAGUCGUACGGUAAGGCCCUUUCGGGGGUACACGAGUGGCGAACGGGUGAGUAACACGUGAGUAACCUGCCCACAACUUUGGGAUAACGCUAGGAAACUGGUGCUAAUACUGGAUAUGUGCUCCUCCGCCUUGGGGGGGUUGGGAAACUUCCGGCGGUUGGGGUUGGACUCGCGGCCUAUCAGCUUGUUGGUGGGGUAGUGGCCUACCAAGGCGGCGACGGGUAGCCGGCCUGAGAGGGUGACCGGCCACAUUGGGACUGAGAUACGGCCCAGACUCCUACGGGAGGCAGCAGUGGGGAAUAUUGCACAAUGGGCGCAAGCCUGAUGCAGCAACGCCGCGUGCGGGAUGACGGCCUUCGGGUUGUAAACCGCUUUCAGCAGGGACGAAGCUUUUUGUGACGGUACCUGCAGAAGAAGCACCGGCUAACUACGUG